GAUGAACGCUGGCGGCGUGCCUAAUACAUGCAAGUCGAGCGAACGGACGAGAAGCUUGCUUCUCUGAUGUUAGCGGCGGACGGGUGAGUAACACGUGGAUAACCUACCUAUAAGACUGGGAUAACUUCGGGAAACCGGAGCUAAUACCGGAUAAUAUUUUGAACCGCAUGGUUCAAAAGUAAAAGACGGUCUUGCUGUCACUUAUAGAUGGAUCCGCGCUGCAUUAGCUAGUUGGUAAGGUAACGGCUUAUCAAGGCAACGAUGCAUAGCCGACCUGAGAGAGUGAUCGGCCACACUGGAACUGAGACGCGGUCCAGACUCCUACGGGAGGCAGCAGUAGGGAAUCUUCCGCAAUGGGCGAAAGCAUGACGGAGCAACGCCGCGUGAGUGAUGAAGGCCUUCGGAUCGUAAAACUCUGUUAUUAGGGAAGAACAUAUGUGUAAGUAACUGUGCACAUCUUGACGGUACCUAAUCAGAAAGCCACGGCUAACUACGUG
RNAcentral lists this ribosomal RNA (497 nucleotides) under uncultured bacterium. Its description in RNAcentral is "partial 16S ribosomal RNA". It matches the Rfam family "Bacterial small subunit ribosomal RNA", at positions 28 to 507 of the family's 1533-position model. The record is from RNAcentral.